RNAcentral lists this ribosomal RNA (240 nucleotides) under uncultured bacterium. RNAcentral's name for it is "partial 16S ribosomal RNA". It matches the Rfam family "Bacterial small subunit ribosomal RNA", at positions 524 to 763 of the family's 1533-position model. The record is from RNAcentral.
UACAUAGGGGGCAAGCGUUAUCCGGAAUUAUUGGGUGUAAAGGGUGCGUAGACGGAAGAACAAGUUGGUUGUGAAAUCCCUCGGCUCAACUGAGGAACUGCAACCAAAACUAUUCUCCUUGAGUGUCGGAGAGGAAAGUGGAAUUCCUAGUGUAGCGGUGAAAUGCGUAGAUAUUAGGAGGAACACCAGUGGCGAAGGCGACUUUCUGGACGAUAACUGACGUUGAGGCACGAAAGUGUG